CCUACGGGAGGCAGCAGUGGGGAAUUUUGGACAAUGGGCGAAAGCCUGAUCCAGCCAUGCCGCGUGCAGGAUGAAGGCCUUCGGGUUGUAAACUGCUUUUGUACGGAACGAAAAGGUCUUUUCUAAUAAAGAAGGCCCAUGACGGUACCGUAAGAAUAAGCACCGGCUAACUACGUGCCAGCAGCCGCGGUAAUACGUAGGGUGCAAGCGUUAAUCGGAAUUACUGGGCGUAAAGCGUGCGCAGGCGGUUAUAUAAGACAGUUGUGAAAUCCCCGGGCUCAACCUGGGAACUGCAUCUGUGACUGUAUAGCUAGAGUACGGUAGAGGGGGAUGGAAUUCCGCGUGUAGCAGUGAAAUGCGUAGAUAUGCGGAGGAACACCGAUGGCGAAGGCAAUCCCCUGGACCUGUACUGACGCUCAUGCACGAAAGCGUGGGGAGCAAACAGGAUUAGAUACCCUGGUAGUCCACGCCCUAAACGAUGUCAACUGGUUGUUGGGUCUUCACUGACUCAGUAACGAAGCUAACGCGUGAGUUGACCGCCGUGGGGAGUCGGCGCGAAGGUUGAAACUUGAAAGGAAUUGACGG
This 585-nucleotide ribosomal RNA is filed under the name uncultured bacterium. RNAcentral's name for it is "bacterial SSU rRNA". It matches the Rfam family "Bacterial small subunit ribosomal RNA", at positions 338 to 916 of the family's 1533-position model. The record is from RNAcentral.